RNAcentral lists this ribosomal RNA (468 nucleotides) under uncultured bacterium. RNAcentral describes it as "partial 16S ribosomal RNA". It matches the Rfam family "Bacterial small subunit ribosomal RNA", at positions 28 to 507 of the family's 1533-position model. The record is from RNAcentral.
GACGAAAGAUGGAGGCGUGCUUAACACAUGCAAGUCGAACGGAAAGGCCCUGCUUUUGUGGGGUGCUCGAGUGGCGAACGGGUGAGUAACACGUGAGUAACCUGCCCUUGACUUUGGGAUAACUUCAGGAAACUGGGGCUAAUACCGGAUAGGAGCUCCUGCUGCAUGGUGGGGGUUGGAAAGUUUCGGCGGUUGGGGAUGGACUCGCGGCUUAUCAGCUUGUUGGUGGGGUAGUGGCUUACCAAGGCUUUGACGGGUAGCCGGCCUGAGAGGGUGACCGGCCACAUUGGGACUGAGAUACGGCCCAGACUCCUACGGGAGGCAGCAGUGGGGAAUAUUGCACAAUGGGCGGAAGCCUGAUGCAGCAACGCCGCGUGCGGGAUGACGGCCUUCGGGCUGUAAACCGCUUUCGCCUGUGACGAAGCGUGAGUGACGGUAAUGGGUAAAGAAGCACCGGCUAACUACGUG